RNAcentral lists this ribosomal RNA (500 nucleotides) under uncultured bacterium. RNAcentral's name for it is "partial 16S ribosomal RNA". It matches the Rfam family "Bacterial small subunit ribosomal RNA", at positions 30 to 523 of the family's 1533-position model. The record is from RNAcentral.
AUUGAACGCUGGCGGAAUGCCUUACACAUGCAAGUCGAACGGCAGCACGGACUUCGGUCUGGUGGCGAGUGGCGAACGGGUGAGUAAUGUAUCGGAACGUGCCCAGUCGUGGGGGAUAACGUAGUGAAAAUUACGCUAAUACCGCAUACGAUCUAUGGAUGAAAGCGGGGGAUCGCAAGACCUCGCGCGAUUGGAGAGGCCGAUAUCAGAUUAGGUAGUUGGUGGGGUAAAGGCCCACCAAGCCAACGAUCUGUAGCUGGUCUGAGAGGACGACCAGCCACACUGGAACUGAGACACGGUCCAGACUCCUACGGGAGGCAGCAGUGGGGAAUUUUGGACAAUGGGCGAAAGCCUGAUCCAGCCAUUCCGCGUGCAGGAUGAAGGCCCUCGGGUUGUAAACUGCUUUUGUACAGAACGAAAAGGCUUCUACUAAUACUAGGAGCUCAUGACGGUACUGUAAGAAUAAGCACCGGCUAACUACGUGCCAGCCGCCGCCGUAA